CCAGCCCGUGGUCGACGCCGGCGGCGGUCUCGUCGUCGACGACGGCGACCUCUCACCUCGGUUCGUCGCCGACACGCUGGUCC
This 83-nucleotide transfer RNA is filed under the name Mycolicibacterium litorale. RNAcentral's name for it is "tRNA-Val". Lineage: Bacteria; Bacillati; Actinomycetota; Actinomycetes; Mycobacteriales; Mycobacteriaceae. The record is from RNAcentral.